GACUCAAUGACAAGGUACACUCGAGUCCUGACUCAAUCUGUAUACAAUGGAGCGGUUUCCUACUCUCCCUUUUUUAUAAUGUAUAAAUACUAUAAAAUUAAUUUGUGAUUGUGUAUUUACUUUAAUAAUAUUAUAGAUAUUUCCAAGCCAAAGACGUUGGUAUAACUAUGAUGAGUUAACUAGACAUGAGGAAUGUGGAGACCCUGAUAAUACAUCUCACCGGGGCCAUCCGGAAUGUCAGUUUUGUAAAGUUCGUUACUUAGACAAAGACGAGCUCUAUAAACAUCUAAGGAAAGAGCAUUUCUUUUGUCAUUUUUGCGAUGCUGAUGGUAUUCAAGACUACUACAUGACAUAUGAAUGGUUGAGAAAGCAUUAUUUUGACAAGCACUACCUUUGCGAAGAGGGAAAUUGUGUCAAUGAACAAUAUACAUCAGUUUUUCGUACGUCAAUAGAUUUACAAGCUCAUAAAGCGCAAACACACAGCAGAGAUUUGGGAAAACAAGGAUAUAAAGAAGCGCGUACCUUAAAACUUGAGUUUACCUUACGACCGCGACACAAUCCGACCGUUGAAGCGGGCAGACCAAACCAAUACCAACCACCCCGACCCCGCCAACCACCAUCUGAUUAUUCUUACAACAAUAGCUACAACAACAUCAACAACUAUUCCGGCGGGCCCGAGUCAUCCGCGUCGACCUCAUCGGAUCGCGCGAUCAACGUGCGUAACACCGCAGAUUUCCCGUCGUUGAAUGGUCAGCACACGACGGUGUUGCCAUGUGCCCGCACCAGGAAGCAAAACCAAUCGGUCAACACGCGAGAUUUACAUUCGUUUCCGGCCUUGGGACAGGACCCGCAGCCGUCGGUGGCGCCCAAGCCUCAGAAACCACCGGUGAACAGCAUCCGAAUGGCCGCGGUGCUAAAGAAACCAGCGGAACCCCCUAAACCAGAUCGAAACAAAGACGCCAAGGUACCUUCAGGUCCACGGUUGCCCAACCAGGCCAGGGACUUUCCGUCGCUAGACGGCAACCAAAACCAAAACCACCAGCCACAGCAGCAGCAACAAAACCAGCAACACCCCAGGUUGGCUGCCAACAAGGAGAUGGCGGUGGCCAGCGGUUCGGGCGGUGGCAGUUGGGUGUCUAAAGCCAAGACGGGAAACGAGGGUGAGAAAAAAAAGGUUAAAAAAGAACCAGCGGCCAUCAAGAAGAAAAUAGCAGAGGCGCCCAAGGUCCCUGGCCCGUCGGACUUUCCAAAUUUGAACAAAAAAUAUGAACCGUCCAAGAGCAACCUGGCAAAGUUGGGCGGCAACAAGAAGAAAUCGGAAAACUCAAAGAAAACCGCGCCAGCAGAAACCAACGUCAACGGCAAUGGCGGCAGUGGUACUGUUCAAAACGGGAAAAAGAACCUUCCAACCGUGGACAGCAACAGCAGUAAUAAGGAAAACUGCAACAAGCCCAACACGAAAACCGUCGACGCGGUGCAGGUGUGCAACGGGGAAAUCAAGACGGCUACUUCGACGAAUAAUAAGGCGGUCGCCGGCAAGACUGAAGUGAUAAAGCCCGCCGCCUCAGCCCCGGUAGAGGUGCCGAAGAGAGAGCAGUCCAAGAAGAAAGAGUCUGCUGCGGUCGGUCGAACGGCGACUCAACCCGACGAAGAAUCCGUGACGGACGCCAACAACCCAAAGGACAAGAAGAAGAGGAAAAAGAAUGAAAAUCGAGGAGAACAACAACAACAACAACAACAACCUACCUCAACCAGGCACCAACAGCAGGAAAAUCAUCACCAGCAACAGCUGCAGAACAAUUAUAUCAAAACGGCGACGCCAAAAAUACCGCCGGGCUUCGAGAACGCGUACCAGCAGCCGCCACAACAACAGGUCAGAGCCCCUCCCGGGCUGUCUGGUAACCGUGGACCGUCGCCCGCAGCGCAGAACCAUCACCGGGUCAAAGCGCCGCCCGGUCUGUCGUUGGCGGACAGCGGAGGCGACGGCGGUAAACCGUUCGAGUACUUGCAUCCGGUCGACUCGUCCGUCCGGAACAAAGUGCUCAUCAAUAACCUGAUGGCCGCGCUCAUACCUGCCCACGACGAACGUUUUGACACUUUCGAGAAGUUUAAAGAGAUGUCAACGCUGUUCCGCAAACAUGUCAUCACCGCGUUCGAUUUCUACUCGUAUUGCGUUGAAGCACUGGCCCCGCACAGCUUUGAUUCCGUAUUCCAGGAACUCGUGUUGUUGUUGCCUGACAUCCAAAAGCAGCGGGAAUUGCUGUUCAUCUACAACCGGAACAGCAGACACGAAAUGAACGUAGAAGUGUGCAAACACUGUCGCCAAGUGUUGAGGCCUAGUGACUUGGAAUCGCACCAGUCCGUUCACAGUUCGACUGUGCGCAGUUGAAAUGCAACGGAUACGCCUGUGUUUGUAUAGCACAUAUUGCGUCCAUGCCGCCGAACAUGCCUCCCAAGUGUCGUGGUGUUUUGCUCGAUAGCUCCGGUCGUAUGUGUAUAUUAUAUAUCUAUAGAAGUCAAUCGUUUUUAAUACGUACUACAUAUUAUUAUAUAAGUAUAUAUUAUUAUAUUAUUCUAUAUAACCGAUUACUUAUCUGUGGGUACAGAUAUUAUCAUAUUAUUUUUAAUAAUAGAGUAAGAAACACAUUGCAUAUUAAUAUAUUAUGUAUAUUUUCGGUCGA
RNAcentral lists this unclassified non-coding RNA (2681 nucleotides) under Acyrthosiphon pisum (pea aphid). RNAcentral describes it as "e3 ubiquitin-protein ligase ZNF598, transcript variant X2". Lineage: Eukaryota; Metazoa; Arthropoda; Insecta; Hemiptera; Aphididae. The record is from RNAcentral.